This 71-nucleotide transfer RNA is filed under the name Dermacentor silvarum. RNAcentral's name for it is "transfer RNA glycine (anticodon GCC)". It matches the Rfam family "tRNA". From Rfam's summary of the family: Transfer RNA (tRNA) molecules are approximately 80 nucleotides in length. The record is from RNAcentral. Lineage: Eukaryota; Metazoa; Arthropoda; Arachnida; Ixodida; Ixodidae.
GCGUCGGUGGUUCAGUGGUAGAAUACUCGCCUGCCACGCGGGUGGCCCGGGUUCGAUUCCCGGCCGACGCC